This 734-nucleotide long non-coding RNA is filed under the name Olea europaea subsp. europaea. The record is from RNAcentral. Lineage: Eukaryota; Viridiplantae; Streptophyta; Magnoliopsida; Lamiales; Oleaceae.
UGUUUUGAGAUCAAAUUUCAUAAUUUAGAAAGUGAUGAACUUGAAUUGAAUCAAAGAAUACAUGAGUUACAAGAAUAAAAGGACUUAAGGACUGAUUUUCAUUAUCUAAAAAGAUUAAGGACUUGAAUGACAAUAUAGCAUUAAUGGCUUGAACUGGAGACCUUUCUAUUUGUAAUUGGUGGCAGAAUUGGACCCCUUUUAUCCACAAAGACCCGCAACAUGGAAAUUUUAAAUGGGGAAGAAUUGAAAAGCAAACUUAAGAAUAUUUGCGGCCCAGAAUUCAAAACCUACCGAACCCGCAUUGAAGAGACGUGGGGUAGCCAAGAUUAUUAGAUACACGCACAAAGAAGACAAGAGAAUUGGGCUGCGGGUUGCUGAAAUUUAUUACAUAUACACACAGAAAUCGAAGCUGGAGAAGUGAGCGAUACAUACAAACAUAUAAACGGCAUCUUUCAAGGAGUCAAAAAAGGAAGGCAACCUUCUUCAUUAAAAUAAAUAAAUAAAUAAUGCUGGUGGCUGGAGGAAUUAAGAAGGGCAGCUUUAGGAGACAACAUUGGUGGCUGGGUUAAUAUGUCCCCAUUUGAAUCCCAUUAUCUGUAGAUUAUAAUGAGAUGAAUAGUAUUUUUUUGAAAAAUGAGUGGUUGAAAAAUUUUUAAUUUACGCGUAAUAUUAUUUUAUUGAAGAUUAUGUGAUUAACGUAAGAGAGAGAAGAAUUUAAUUUAAUGCAAUGAAAA